GCGAGCAUGCUGGAAUUGGCAGACAGGCACGUUUGAGGGGCGUGUGCUUAUGGCGUAUGGGUUCAAGUCCCAUUGCUCGCACCA
RNAcentral lists this transfer RNA (84 nucleotides) under Clostridiaceae bacterium. RNAcentral describes it as "tRNA-Leu". It matches the Rfam family "tRNA". Rfam says of the family: Transfer RNA (tRNA) molecules are approximately 80 nucleotides in length. Their secondary structure includes four short double-helical elements and three loops (D, anti-codon, and T loops). Further hydrogen bonds mediate the characteristic L-shaped molecular structure. tRNAs have two regions of fundamental functional importance: the anti-codon, which is responsible for specific mRNA codon recognition, and the 3' end, to which the tRNAs corresponding amino acid is attached (by aminoacyl-tRNA synthetases). tRNAs cope with the degeneracy of the genetic code in two manners: having more than one tRNA (with a specific anti-codon) for a particular amino acid; and 'wobble' base-pairing, i.e. permitting non-standard base-pairing at the 3rd anti-codon position. The record is from RNAcentral. Lineage: Bacteria; Bacillati; Bacillota; Clostridia; Eubacteriales; Clostridiaceae.